UGGGGAAUAUUGGGCAAUGCUCGCAAGAGUGACCCAGCAACGCCGCGUGAAGGAUGAAGGCCGUAAGGUUGUAAACUUCGACAAAAUGGGAAGAAAGUGCAUACUAUAAGGGUAUGUUUUGACGGUACCAUUUGGAAGCCCCGGCUAACUACGUGCCAGCAGCCGCGGUAAUACGUAGGGGGCUAGCGUUGUCCGGAUUUACUGGGUGUAAAGGGCGCGUAGGCGGAUUAGUAAGUCAGUGGUUAAAGCGUGCGGCUUAACUGCAUUGAUGCCAUUGAUACUAUUAGUCUAGAGUUCAGUAGGGAGAGUUGGAAUUCCUGGUGUAGUAGUGAAAUACGCAGAUAUCAGGAAGAAUACCGGAGGCGAAGGCGAGCUCUUGGGCUGAUACUGACGCUGAGGC
RNAcentral lists this ribosomal RNA (400 nucleotides) under uncultured bacterium. Its description in RNAcentral is "bacterial SSU rRNA". It matches the Rfam family "Bacterial small subunit ribosomal RNA", at positions 355 to 752 of the family's 1533-position model. The record is from RNAcentral.